RNAcentral lists this long non-coding RNA (674 nucleotides) under Oryza sativa Indica Group (long-grained rice). RNAcentral's name for it is "lncRNA OsMH63_03G040890". Lineage: Eukaryota; Viridiplantae; Streptophyta; Magnoliopsida; Poales; Poaceae. The record is from RNAcentral.
AAGGGCCUCCGCUGGGAACACACAAAGGCCAAGGCGGAGGUGGGGAGGUGCCUGUAGAGCGAUUGGAUUCGUAUAAAGAAAAGGUACUCGUAUAUACUAUAUAUGUUGAGUCGAUUUUGACGAGAAGGGAGCCCCUUCCCGAGAGAUUAGGUCUGGUCUGAGGAGAAAAUACGCUCCGCUCCGAUCCGAUAUACUGUCAGCGAAGUAGUUGUCGAUGGCUGCGCUUCGCUAUGCGGCGCGGAAGAUCUGCGGUCGCGCACUACAGCGACCGCGGGUUGUAUAUCCGGCGGUCACAUCGCCGGCUUUGGAGGCGGAGCGGAGGCUGUUGCCCAUGCUUAUCCGUGGCGAGAUGCCUCACAUCUCAUAUACCCGCCACUUCAGUUCCUCCGCUACUCCUCAACCACCCCUUGCCAACAAUAAUAAAUCGAUUUCUGGACAUCGUUUGCCUUGCCCAAAUCCUGCCGCAGAUGCCAAGUUUCAUAACAACAUAGAUCCUGCAAGUCUUGAGACGCUAGUGCAGGAGAAGAAAGACGAGCUGUUCCGUCUGCUACUUCAGAUGGAUCUUCACAAUGGCUCGUGUGAAAAAAGUGCCGAGGAGAACAAAGCCAUACUGAGGCUGCUUCGGCAAUUCCGUGCUGAGACGCGAGAUAAUGGUACCUUGUAAGUAGGCUCUA